RNAcentral lists this unclassified non-coding RNA (169 nucleotides) under plant metagenome. Its description in RNAcentral is "partial contains small subunit ribosomal RNA, internal transcribed spacer 1, and 5.8S ribosomal RNA". The record is from RNAcentral.
UUUCCGUAGGUGAACCUACGGAAGGAUCAUUAAUGAACGAGCUCGCGUGCUUCUAACUAUUCCAAGCCUCUGUGAACUGGGCCCUUCAGGGCUAUUCUACAAACUUGGUGUAAUGAACCUCAGAUAUCAUAACAAAACAACACUUUCAACAACGGAUCUCUUGGUUCUG